This 497-nucleotide ribosomal RNA is filed under the name uncultured bacterium. RNAcentral's name for it is "partial 16S ribosomal RNA". It matches the Rfam family "Bacterial small subunit ribosomal RNA", at positions 28 to 507 of the family's 1533-position model. The record is from RNAcentral.
GAUGAACGCUGGCGGCGUGCCUAAUACAUGCAAGUCGAGCGAACGGACGAGAAGCUUGCUUCUCUGAUGUUAGCGGCGGACGGGUGAGUAACACGUGGAUAACCUACCUAUAAGACUGGGAUAACUUCGGGAAACCGGAGCUAAUACCGGAUAAUAUUUUGAACCGCAUGGUUCAAAAGUGAAAGACGGUCUUGCUGUCACUUAUAGAUGGAUCCGCGCUGCAUUAGCUAGUUGGUAAGGUAACGGCUUACCAAGGCAACGAUGCAUAGCCGACCUGAGAGGGUGAUCGGCCACACUGGAACUGAGACACGGUCCAGACUCCGACGGGAGGCAGCAGGAGGGAAUCUUCCGCAAUGGGCGAAAGCCUGACGGAGCAACGCCGCGUGAGUGAUGAAGGUCUUCGGAUCGUAAAACUCUGUUAUUAGGGAAGAACAUAUGUGUAAGUAACUGUGCACAUCUUGACGGUACCUAAGCAGAAAGCCACGGCUAACUACGUG